UUUUUCCUCCGCUUUAAACUGGAAAAUGGCCCACUUCCCACUGGCGAAAACUCAGGAAAUUUGGCAGGAUGACCGGGCCUGGUGAAAAAUUUGAUAUUCUGAAGUUGUCCAAACAAAAAAAGGAAAAAUGGCUCCAUAGCGCCCCCUAUGGUGAAAACUCACCUGAUGCCUGUACGCUUUGUCAAAAUGACACAAAAUUUGACACACAUGUGUAUCUCAAUAAGAUCUACGAAAAAGUCAGUGUGGGCGUAUCUGUCAAAUGUACGGUUAAAGGGCUAUUUCGCUUUUUUUGCCGAUCCGCACACAUUGGAAUUUCGCUAACUCCUCCAAAGGCUUUCGUUCCACCGGCACCAAAUUUGCUCAGGCCAAUCUACACCCCAUGGCCAUUAAAAGUUGUACAAAUCAUGACGCUGCACCCCACGGUUUAGGUUCUAGGCGGCGCCAAAGAUAACCCAAAAAUCCACAUUCUUAAAAGUCUUAUAACUUUUUAUUUUUGUCCUCACUGGCCUCCAAGGUUUCUAGGAUGAUGCAAUGUCCAGCCAUAAACACAUUUGUGAAGGAAUUUUUACUCCCCAAAAGAGCGCCCCCCCAUGGCAGGAGAAAAAAGUCCAUUUUUUCUUGUCUCCUAAGGUAAAAAUACACAUUGUUGAGUGUCACGCCUAUACACUUUGUCAUAUUGACACACAAUUUGACAAUCACGUGUAUCUCAAUAAGAUCUACAAAAAAGUCAAUAGGCACGUAUCUGUCAAAUGUACGGUUAAAGGGCUAUUUUGCAUUUUUUGCCGAUUCGCACACAUUGGAAUGUGGCUAUCUCCUCCUAAGGCUUUCGUCCCACUGAUACCAAAUUUGCUCAGGGCAAUCUACACCCCAUGGCCAUUCAAAGUUGUCAAAAUCAUGACGCUGCACCCCACGGUUUACGUUCUAGGGGGCGCCAAAGAUGACCCAAAAAUCCACAUUCUUAAAAGUCUUUUUGGUCACUGCAGGAGUACAGAGUACUGCAAGAUACACACACAUACACACACACACACACACACACACACACACACACACACACACACACUCAGAGUCUGUUUUUUAGCACCUGCAAAAACAUGCUGUUUACAUAUUUGACAAGAAUGCAGAGGCUUCCUUUUGCCCCGAAAAAAAUCAAAUUUCAAACACAACUUGACUGUUCAUUUCUCCAAAUGACAACCAUGAAGCUCCAUCCAAACCUGAAGCAGGCAGUUGGUGCAUGUGUACAGUAACCUGAGGGGAGUGAGGUGACUGCUUCUGAGGAGAACAUGAGCAGUGAAGAUUCACCUUGGAGCGAGAACAGGGACGUGCACAUGAUUAUACAGGGGCAGGGGCUCAAGUUUUUUCCAGUCGUUUAUACAAUAUGGAAAUUAAUGUGAAAUUAAAAAACAAAGUAUUAAUAGAAAGGUAAUGACUGUCCUGUGUAGGUGACAGUAAUAUCCAAUAGGCUAGGCACUCACGAGGCUGGCUGUGGCAAGUGUAAGUGAAAGCAACACGCACUGGCAGGAAGAACAGCAAACGCCGAUGAAGGAAAAGGGUCUUUGCAGUGAUGGGCGUUACCAGAGAGGACGAUGGCCAGAGGACGCGAAUGGGACGGGGAGGCAGCGCGUUGGGGGGGGGGCGCGACACAGCUCGGGCCCGCCAGUGCCCCAACGGGGCCCUAGUUUCUUUUUCCUCCCCUUUGAACUGGAAAAUGGCCCACUUCCCACUGGCGAAAACUCAUGAAAUUUGGCAGGACGACCGGGCCUGGUGAAAAAUUUGAUAUUCCGAAGUCGCCCAAACAAGAAAAUGCAAAAUGGCUCCAUAGCGCCCCCUAAGGUGAAAAUUCACACUAUUGACUUUCACGCCUGUACGCUUUGUCAAAAUGACACAAAAAUUGACACACACAUGUAUCUCAAUAAGAUCUACAAAAAAGUCAGUGCGGGCGUAUCUGUCAAAUGUACGGUUAAAGGGCUAUUUCGCAUUUUUUGCCGAUCCGCACACAUUGGAAUUUCGCUAACUCCUCCGAAGGCUUUCAUUCCACCGGCACCACAUUUGCUCAGGCCAAUCUACACCCCAUGGCCAUUAAAAGUUAUUCAAAUCAUGACGCUGCACCCCACGGUUUACGUUCUAGGGGGCGCCAAAGAUAACCCUAAAAUCCACAUUUUUAAAAGUCUUAUAACUUUUGAUUUUUGCCCUCACUGGCCUCCAAGUUUUCUAGGAUGAUGCAAUGUCCAGCCAUCAACACAUUUGUGAAGGAAUUUUUACUCCCCAAAAGAGCGCCCCCCCAUGGCAGGAGAAAAAAGUCCAUUUUUUCUUGUCCCCUAAGGUGAAAAUACACAUUGUUGAGUGUCACGCCUGUACGCUUUGUCAAAAUGACACAAAAAUUGACACACACAUGUAUCUCAAUAAGAUCUACAAAAAAGUUAGUGCGCGCGUAUCUGUCAAAUGUACGGUUAAAGGGUUAUUCCGCAUUUUUUGCCGAUUCGCACACAUUGGAAUUUCGCUAACUCCUCCGAAGGCUUUCGUUCCACCGGCACCACAUUUGCUCAGGCCAAUCUACACCCCAUGGCCAUUAAAAGUUAUUCAAAUCAUGACGCUGCACCCCACGGUUUACAUUCUAGGGGGCACCAAAGAUAACCCAAAAAUCCACAUUUUUAAAAGUCUUAUAACUUUUUAGGGCCCGAGCGUAGCUGCUAAGCAGCUGCGAGAGCCCUCUUGGUCCUGAUGGAUUCUUCUUUCGUUAUUUUUCCUCCGCUUUAAACUGGAAAAUGGCCCACUUCCCACUGGCGAAAACUCAGGAAAUUUGGCAGGACGACCGGGCCUGGUGAAAAAUUUGAUAUUCUGAAGUCGCCCAAACAAAAAAAUGAAAAAUGGCUCCAUAGCGCCCCCUAUGGUGAAAACUCACCUGACGCCUGUACGCUUUGUCAAAAUGACACAAAAUUUGACACACAUGUGUAUCUCAAUAAGAUCUACAAAAAAGUCAGUGCGGGCGUAUCUGUCAAAUGUACGGUUAAAGGGCUAUUUCGCAUUUUUUGCCGAUCCGCACACAUUGGAAUUUCGCUAACUCCUCCGAAGGCUUUCGUUCCACCGGCACCAAAUUUGCUCAGGCCAAUCUACACCCCAUGGCCAUUAAAAGUUGUACAAAUCAUGACGCUGCACCCCACGGUUUAUGUUCUAGGGGGCGCCAAAGAUAACCCAAAAGUCCACAUUCUUAAAAGUCUUAUAACUUUUUAUUUUUGUCCUCACUGGCCUCCAAGUUUUCUAGGAUGAUGCUAUGUCCAGCCAUCAACACAUGUGUGAAGGAAUUUUUACUCCCCAAAAGAGCGCCCCCCCAUGGCAGAAGAAAAAAGUCAAGUUUUUCUUGUCCCCUAACAUGAAAAUACACAUUGUUGAGUGUCACGCCUAAACGCUUUGUCAUAUUGACACAAAAAUUGACACGCACGUGUAUCUCAAUAAGAUCUACGAAAAAGUCAAUGCGCGCGUAUCUGUCAAAUGUACGGUUAAAGGGUUAUUUUGCAUUUUUUGCCGAUCCGCACACAUUGGAAUUUCGCUAACUCCUCCGAAGGCUUUCGUUCCACCGGCACCAAAUUUGCUCAGGCCAAUCUACACCCCAUGGCCAUUAAAAGUUGUAAAAAUCAUGACGCUGCACCCCACGGUUUAGGUUUUAGGGGGCGCCAAAGAUAACCCUAAAAUCCAAAUAUUUAAAAGUCUUAUAACUUUUUAUUUUUGUCCUCACUGGCCUCCAAGUUUUCUAGGAUGAUGCAAUGUCCAGCCAUCAAUACAUUUGUGAAGGAAUUUUUACUCCCCAAAAGAGCGCCCCCCCAUGGUAGGAGAAAAAAGUCAAUUUUUUCUUGUCCCCUAAGGUGAAAAUACACAUUGUUGAGUGUCACGCCUGAACUCUUUGUCAUAUUGACACAAAUAUUGACAAUCAUGUGUAUCUCAAUUAGAUCUACGAAAAAGUCAAAGAGCGCGUAUCUGUAUAAUGUACGGUAAAAGGGCUAUUUUGCAUUUUUUGCCGAUUCGCACACAUUGGAAUUUCGCUAACUCCUCCGAAGGCUUUCGUCCCACUGACACCAUAGUUGCUCAGGCCAAUCUACAACCCAUGGCCAUUCAAAGUUGUACAAAUCAUGACGCUGCACCCCACGGUUUAGGUUCUAGGGGGCGCCAAAGAUAACCCAAAAAUCCACAGUCUUAAAAGUCUUAUAACUUUUUAUUUUUGUCCUCACUGGCCUCCAA
This 4230-nucleotide long non-coding RNA is filed under the name Xyrichtys novacula (pearly razorfish). Lineage: Eukaryota; Metazoa; Chordata; Actinopteri; Labriformes; Labridae. The record is from RNAcentral.